AGAGAGGCAUGCGGAGAAAACAUAUACACCAAACACUUCUCUAGCGAUUGUGAGUUCUUUGGUGUGUGAGGGGAAAGAAAGAAUUUGCUUUCAACUAUAAGAGGCCAGAACUUGUCAAAAAGAAAAAAUUCACCGAGUUCAAAUUUGGGAUGAUAUGAACCUGGAUAUUCCACUAGAGAGCUUUUCAAGUGUUGCUGAGAACAGCAUAAAUUCAAGAUUCUGGCUGUAAGCAGGAAGAAUUGUGUGCAACAUACAAUAACCUGGAGAAGUGAAUUGGGAUGGAGAGAGAAAAUGGAGAGGUAGGUGUGAGUAUUGGAUGACUGAAGUUAGCAGGGCUAGUGGAGAGGGAGGCCAGGAGGAGGCAUCACUUCCAGAACAGCUAAUACGAACCUUCAGAAUUACUGUAACAUAGUGAGUGGGGAGAUGAUGAUGUGUUAAAAAUUUGAAACUUUUUUGUUUAUAUUGUGCAUUUCUUACCAUGUAAAGCUUCUCUGUCUGUUGAUCUCUGCAAACUGCGUAUCUAAAAUCUCAACAGUGGAUGUGCAUUUGGAUUUCAAGUUUUAGGUGUGUGAAAAGGAAAGAAACAGGGACAAACAACAUUGUUAUCUAUGGGCAGUUUAUUUCCACAAAACACAUUCUUUGAGGAUACCAGAUGCUCAUCACAAACAGUGACUUGAAAUACAUACACUGUAAUAAUAUACUGUCUUGUUACAUACAUGUGCACAGUUAACAUGUUGACAGCCACACACUUUGUGAUGGCUGAUUCACUGCCAAGCCAGACACACAGCAUUAGACUCCGCUAUUUCAGCAGAUGGCCCCUUGGCCUUUGGUCGAGAUGUGGCCACCAGCAGCUAUAAAGCAGUCAGUGUGUUAAGAUUUAGUAGAUUAAUCACCCACCAUUGUCAUCACAUGAACACAAGUCUGACAAUACCCCUGUACUGCACAUUACGCAUAGGCUUUCAGCAUUAACAUACUCCUUGCUCUCACGUAUUCACAGUUUGGGUCACUGCUCCGGACUAAUGUCCUCUAAUCUCGCCCUUUGGAUGAGAUCUCUCAUUUCAUAGUUUUUAUUGGUUGAAGAGAAAAUGUGACAAUAAUUAAGGUGACAAAAGAAAAAAAAAUUAUAGAGUUAACCUUCCCGUAUUUUAGAACCAUUUAACUCAUGUAUCCAAAGUUUUGUAUCCUUGUGUUUUACAGGAAAAAAUCAAGGCACUACUUGUUCGUACUUUACUGAUACUGUAUCUUUCAUAUUCAAUAAAAUUCCCCAACUUCUAGAAGACCCGCCAUCUAAUGUAUU
Schistocerca americana (American grasshopper) is the source of this 1297-nucleotide long non-coding RNA. RefSeq lists it as uncharacterized. The transcript has 3 exons. NCBI's taxonomy places the organism in Eukaryota, Metazoa, Arthropoda, Insecta, Orthoptera, Acrididae. The record is from RefSeq and is a predicted model, not a curated record.